Molecule: non-coding RNA, 29 nt
Filed under: Rattus norvegicus (Norway rat)
Lineage: Eukaryota; Metazoa; Chordata; Mammalia; Rodentia; Muridae
Source: RNAcentral
AGAGAAUGUUAGGUACUGAUGCACCAUAG